This 254-nucleotide ribosomal RNA is filed under the name uncultured bacterium. RNAcentral describes it as "partial 16S ribosomal RNA". It matches the Rfam family "Bacterial small subunit ribosomal RNA", at positions 524 to 776 of the family's 1533-position model. The record is from RNAcentral.
UACGUAGGGGGCGAGCGUUGUCCGGAUUCAUUGGGCGUAAAGAGCUCGUAGGCGGCUCAGUAAGUCGGGUGUGAAACCCUCAGGCUCAACCUGGGGACGCCACUCGAUACUGCUGUGGCUAGAGUCCAGUAGGGGAGUGUGGAAUUCCCGGUGUAGCGGUGAAAUGCGCAGAUAUCGGGAGGAACACCAGCGGCGAAGGCGGCACUCUGGGCUGGUACUGACGCUGAGGAGCGAAAGCGUGGGUAGCAAACAGG